Molecule: long non-coding RNA, 2388 nt
Organism: Sciurus carolinensis (gray squirrel)
Lineage: Eukaryota; Metazoa; Chordata; Mammalia; Rodentia; Sciuridae
Exons: 4
Source: RefSeq, a predicted model, not a curated record
GAAGAAGAAGAAGAAAAAAUUCCCACAGCUAAAAUUUCAAGUAAAGGCAAUUUUGAACUAGAGCCCACCUAUAAUUUAAGUGACUUGGGAGGCUGAUGCAGAAAGGAUCACAAGUUUGAAACCAGGAAGACCUGCCUCAACAAAAUCGGGCUUUCUCCUUAGUCCACCUGAGCUUCCAUCUUCUGGGCAGAUAGGUUCAACUGAUUCCACCCUGCCAUACGCUGAGUGACACAGACAAGAGCAGAGUGCACGUUAUUUCUUCUCCCGAACCAGGAUGAACUCUGAAUGCAGAUCUGACACCCUCUUCUCAGAUCCCAGAGGCUUCUGCCCCACACCCUCCACACUCAGAUGUUCUCCUGCUGAGAGCAAAGAAGGGAAAAAGAAGCACAGUCUACAAGAAUGGGAUUGGAAAAUUGAGAUAUGUUCAAAAUAGAAGUUAAGCAUCCCAAAUGAAAAAAAUCUGGAAUGUUCUAAAAUCUGAACUUAUUUGAGUACUAUCAUCAGGCCACCAAUGGAAAAUUUCAUAUCUGACCUCAUGUGACAGGUUUCAGUCAAAAUAUGGCACAUUAAAAAUGUUGUAUAUAAUUAUCUUCAAGCUAUGUGUAUGAAGUGUAUAUGAAACAUACAUCAUUUUCUAUUUAGACUUUGGUCUUAUGCCCAAAAUAUCUAGUUAUAUAUAUGUAAAUAUUCUGAAUCUGAAAAAAUUCCCAAAUAUGUAAUAUUUCUUCUGGUCUCAAGCUUUGACUAAAGAAUACUUGACCUGCAUUGAAUUGGAUUUUAUCUGUUUGCACACUCCAGGGGUAGAAACAGGAAGGUGAUAUGGGGGAAGGUUCUGGGGUACUAGUAAUGUUCUAUGUUUUGCUCUGAGUUCUGACUUCUUAGCCUUGCUUAGUUUUUGAAAAAUACUUGCAGAUACACACUUAACAUUUGCAUAUCUCCUUAUAGGCAAGAAUAUGUUAUUCUUUAGCAAAAUGUUUACUUGUAAAUUCUUAUUCUUUCACAUCUAUUUGCAUAUUCAUAAAGACCCAUACAAACUUCUCAACGGGUGGCACUUGUAAAAAACAAAAUAUCAAUUUUAGAGAAAUAAAGAUGUCACCUUUUCUCCACAGAUGAGUUGAAUGUAAGUAUGUGACUUCACUUUAUGAGCUUUUGCUAAAGAAAACUUGUCAAAAAUCCACAAAGACUCUCCAUUUCCAUAGGAAAAAAAUUUAGGCUAGUGCUAUAUUAAAUAUUAUCUAGAAUGACAAGUGUUGUAGAAUCAAUUCCAUACGACAGAAAUUAAUGAGGAGAUUUAGUCAUUAUGGUACCAGAUCUGUGUAUUAUCAUAGAUGCUUGAGCGGUUGAAACACAUUUCUUAUAUUUUAUUGUUAUUUUGUUAUAUUUUGGAAAAUAGUGCAAGCAGGGAAAUAGUGCAAGCAUAUACUUUCCAAUAUUUUUGGAGACCUUAAAUUAACUUUAACAAAAACCUUCCCUGAAUUGUCAGUAGUCUUAGAAUACAGAGGCAUAAGGAGGAAAAGAGAAAGAAGAAAGUGGGUCAAUUGCCUUUUAACAGUUGUAAAAUAUUAGGUGAACCAUGUAACCCUUCAGGCUACUUCUUCAACAAGUGAAAUAAUUCUCACAUCUGCCCACCCCACAGUCUUGCAGUGAGAUUAAUGAGAUGCUGAAUGUCUAAGUCCUUUGCAAAAUGCAAACACAGGACACUUCUUGAUCAUUGUAAAUCUGACUUGAGAAAUGGGAGGCAGCAUGUGUCCCCACUCUGUAAAACUCUGGUGGUAGCUUCGUAUUUCCAGAGCUUUGGUACUUUGCCUAAUGAUCUAAAAGAAGUAGCAUGGGUCAUCUUAUUGGUCCCUUAUGAUAUUUCAUAAUUUGUUAUAUGAAAUGAUGUAUCUCUAAAAUAGUUUGUGCUGUAUGAAGGCAACUUCUCUGUGGGUUAUGAUAAUUCUUGUGUUACAUUCAGUUCUGCCCGACAGUUGCAGACAUUGCUAGUGUCCAUUUCAUGUCCUUCUUUCAAGCACUUCGGUGAGUAUCCAUAAAUUCUAACCCUCUGACCCUAUGUCACCCUGUCUGGAGGUUUUUCUGGUGAGUGAGGCUGAUGUGCUGAAUCAUAGAAGGUGCUGGAAGUCUCAGAGAAUUAACAUUCCUAGAGGCAGCACUCAGUGAGCAUCCCAGCUCCCUUGUCCCUGAAAAGUGCUGACCCUGGGGCUUGCGUCCUACACUGACAGCCGUCUCUAGCUGGUUGGUUUCCAUACCUAUUAUGAGUGCCUUCAUGUCUCUGUCUCACUUCCAACUGUCCUGUGGUGUUUUCUUCACUUCCCAGAUACACUCAUUGCAUUCAUAUCCCUGUUUCAAGGUCUGCCUCUGUUAAAUCUCAAACCAAGACAGACCCAA